RNAcentral lists this ribosomal RNA (253 nucleotides) under uncultured bacterium. RNAcentral describes it as "partial 16S ribosomal RNA". It matches the Rfam family "Bacterial small subunit ribosomal RNA", at positions 524 to 776 of the family's 1533-position model. The record is from RNAcentral.
UACGUAGGGUGCGAGCGUUGUCCGGAAUUAUUGGGCGUAAAGAGCUCGUAGGCGGUUUGUCACGUCUGCUGUGAAAUCCCGAGGCUCAACCUCGGGCCUGCAGUGGGUACGGGCAGACUGGAGUGCGGUAGGGGAGAAUGGAAUUCCUGGUGUAGCGGUGGAAUGCGCAGAUAUCAGGAGGAACACCGGUGGCGAAGGCGGGUCUCUGGGCCACUACUGACGCUGAGGAGCGAAAGCCAGGGGAGCGAACGGG